Molecule: ribosomal RNA, 2890 nt
Filed under: Vibrio parahaemolyticus
Lineage: Bacteria; Pseudomonadati; Pseudomonadota; Gammaproteobacteria; Vibrionales; Vibrionaceae
Description: 23S ribosomal RNA
Rfam family: Bacterial large subunit ribosomal RNA
Source: RNAcentral
GGUUAAGUGACUAAGCGUACACGGUGGAUGCCUUGGCAGUCAGAGGCGAUGAAAGACGUAGUAACUUGCGAUAAGCCCAGAUUAGGUAGUAACAACCAUUUGAGUCUGGGAUUUCUGAAUGGGGAAACCCACGUGCAUAAGCACGUAUCCUUACCUGAAUACAUAGGGUAAGGAGGCGAACCGGGGGAACUGAAACAUCUAAGUACCCCGAGGAAAAGAAAUCAACCGAGAUUCCGAAAGUAGCGGCGAGCGAAAUUGGACUAGCCCUUAAGCUUUACAUGCGUUAGACGAACGGUCUGGAAAGUCCGACGAUACAGGGUGAUAGUCCCGUAGUUGACGACGUGUGUUCAGUGAAAUCGAGUAGGGCGGGACACGUGAUAUCCUGUCUGAAUAUGGGGGGACCAUCCUCCAAGGCUAAAUACUACUGACUGACCGAUAGUGAACCAGUACCGUGAGGGAAAGGCGAAAAGAACCCCUGUGAGGGGAGUGAAAUAGAACCUGAAACCGUGUACGUACAAGCAGUAGGAGCAGGCUUUGUCCUGUGACUGCGUACCUUUUGUAUAAUGGGUCAGCGACUUAUAUUCAGUGGCAAGGUUAACCAUCUAGGGGAGCCGUAGGGAAACCGAGUCUUAACUGGGCGUUCAGUCUCUGGAUAUAGACCCGAAACCAGGUGAUCUAGCCAUGGGCAGGUUGAAGGUUGAGUAACAUCAACUGGAGGACCGAACCGACUAAUGUUGAAAAAUUAGCGGAUGACUUGUGGCUAGGGGUGAAAGGCCAAUCAAACCUGGAGAUAGCUGGUUCUCCCCGAAAGCUAUUUAGGUAGCGCCUCGGACGAAUACUACUGGGGGUAGAGCACUGUUAAGGCUAGGGGGUCAUCCCGACUUACCAACCCUUUGCAAACUCCGAAUACCAGUAAGUACUAUCCGGGAGACACACGGCGGGUGCUAACGUCCGUCGUGGAGAGGGAAACAACCCAGACCGCCAGCUAAGGUCCCAAAUUACUACUAAGUGGGAAACGAUGUGGGAAGGCUCAGACAGCCAGGAUGUUGGCUUAGAAGCAGCCAUCAUUUAAAGAAAGCGUAAUAGCUCACUGGUCGAGUCGGCCUGCGCGGAAGAUGUAACGGGGCUAAGUAGUAAACCGAAGCUGCGGCAAUACUCUUUGAGUAUUGGGUAGGGGAGCGUUCUGUAAGCGGUUGAAGGUGUGUGGUAACGCAUGCUGGACGUAUCAGAAGUGCGAAUGCUGACAUGAGUAACGAUAAAGGGGGUGAAAAACCUCCUCGCCGGAAGACCAAGGGUUCCUGUCCAACGUUAAUCGGGGCAGGGUAAGUCGACCCCUAAGGCGAGGCCGAAAGGCGUAGUCGAUGGGAAACGGGUUAAUAUUCCCGUACUUCUUACAAUUGCGAUGGGGGGACGGAGAAGGCUAGGUGGGCCUGGCGACGGUUGUCCAGGUUCAAGUGCGUAGGCUUGAGAGUUAGGUAAAUCCGGCUCUCUCUAAGGCUGAGACACGACGUCGAGCACCUACGGGUGUGAAGUCAUUGAUGCCAUGCUUCCAGGAAAAGCCUCUAAGCUUCAGAUUGUAAGGAAUCGUACCCCAAACCGACACAGGUGGUCGGGUAGAGAAUACCAAGGCGCUUGAGAGAACUCGGGUGAAGGAACUAGGCAAAAUGGUACCGUAACUUCGGGAGAAGGUACGCUCUUGAUGGUGAAGUCCCUUGCGGAUGGAGCUGACGAGAGUCGCAGAUACCAGGUGGCUGCAACUGUUUAUUAAAAACACAGCACUGUGCAAAAUCGUAAGAUGACGUAUACGGUGUGACGCCUGCCCGGUGCCGGAAGGUUAAUUGAUGGGGUUAGACUUCGGUCGAAGCUCUUGAUCGAAGCCCCGGUAAACGGCGGCCGUAACUAUAACGGUCCUAAGGUAGCGAAAUUCCUUGUCGGGUAAGUUCCGACCUGCACGAAUGGCGUAAUGAUGGCCACGCUGUCUCCACCCGAGACUCAGUGAAAUUGAAAUCGCUGUGAAGAUGCAGUGUACCCGCGGCUAGACGGAAAGACCCCGUGAACCUUUACUACAGCUUGGCACUGAACAUUGACCCUACAUGUGUAGGAUAGGUGGGAGGCUUUGAAGCACGUACGCCAGUAUGUGUGGAGCCGUCCUUGAAAUACCACCCUUGUAGUGUUGAUGUUCUAACGUCGACCCCUUAUCGGGGUUGCGGACAGUGCCUGGUGGGUAGUUUGACUGGGGCGGUCUCCUCCCAAAGAGUAACGGAGGAGCACGAAGGUGGGCUAAUCACGGUUGGACAUCGUGAGGUUAGUGCAAUGGCAUAAGCCCGCUUGACUGCGAGAAUGACAAUUCGAGCAGGUGCGAAAGCAGGUCAUAGUGAUCCGGUGGUUCUGAAUGGAAGGGCCAUCGCUCAACGGAUAAAAGGUACUCCGGGGAUAACAGGCUGAUACCGCCCAAGAGUUCAUAUCGACGGCGGUGUUUGGCACCUCGAUGUCGGCUCAUCACAUCCUGGGGCUGAAGUCGGUCCCAAGGGUAUGGCUGUUCGCCAUUUAAAGUGGUACGCGAGCUGGGUUUAGAACGUCGUGAGACAGUUCGGUCCCUAUCUGCCGUGGGCGUUGGAAGAUUGAAGGGGGCUGCUCCUAGUACGAGAGGACCGGAGUGGACGAACCUCUGGUGUUCGGGUUGUGUCGCCAGACGCAUUGCCCGGUAGCUAAGUUCGGAAUCGAUAACCGCUGAAAGCAUCUAAGCGGGAAGCGAGCCCUGAGAUGAGUCUUCCCUGAUACUUUAAGUAUCCUAAAGGGUUGUCGGAGACUACGACGUUGAUAGGUCAGGUGUGUAAGUGCUGUGAGGCAUUGAGCUAACUGAUACUAAUUGCCCGUGAGGCUUAACCAU